RNAcentral lists this long non-coding RNA (522 nucleotides) under Capsicum annuum. RNAcentral's name for it is "long non-coding RNA (CANN_LNC020061)". The record is from RNAcentral. Lineage: Eukaryota; Viridiplantae; Streptophyta; Magnoliopsida; Solanales; Solanaceae.
GAGCACGUGGAAACGACGAGUAGGGAAAUCAGCUGGAGGAAAGUAAACCAACAGAAAAGGCCAUCAUAUGAUCAUAAAUUUGUAGAGAUGCAGCAUCCUGGGGAGUGCGAGUCAUCAAGCCGGAAUACCAUCAUACUAAGAAGCUUGCUGUAGAAGAUCUUAGAAGAUUAACAGUGAUAUUAAUAAGUUUUAUGAAAGUACAGUUUACCACAUAGAAAAUGGUAGGGCACAGGUUUAUUAAAAGGUAGGAGUAAGAACAAGAACGUGCAUUCCCACAGUUUGUGUAGCUGCGGUCUAGAGGAAACUGAUAUGAGUCAAUAACAGUUCUCUUAGGCAUUGUACAGCUCUAGUGUAGUAAGUUAGCAUCAACUUACCCGUCUAACCGUUCCUGUGUUGCAGCUCGGUUUUUGUUGUAGUUGUGUCUUCAUUUUGUAUAUUUUGUUGUUUAGUAGUGUAACAGAAUUGCAUCUGUUUGUAGUUCUUCCUUUUAGGGAACCUGGAUUCUUGAAAACUGUAGAUUUG